CGACAGCAAUAUGAAGGUCAGGCUGAAGACCUUACCCGAUUAGCUGAGAGGUGGUGCAUGGCCGUCGUCAGUUCGUACUGUGAAGCAUCCUGUUAAGUCAGGCAACGAGCGAGACCCACGUCCACAGUUGCCAGCAUACCCUCCGGGGUGAUGCGUACACUGUGGAGACCGCCGCUGCUAAAGCGGAGGAAGGAGUGGGCAACGGUAGGUCAGUAUGCCCCGAAUCUCCCGGGCUACACGCGGGCUACAAUGGUUGGUACAAUGGGCAUCUACCCCGAAAGGGGAAGGAAAUCUCUUAAAGCCAAUCGUAGUUCGGAUUGAGGGCUGCAACUCGCCCUCAUGAAGCUGGAAUCCGUAGUAAUCGCGUUUCAACAGAACGCGGUGAAUACGUCCCUGCUCCUU
RNAcentral lists this ribosomal RNA (402 nucleotides) under uncultured Methanosaeta sp. RNAcentral describes it as "bacterial SSU rRNA". It matches the Rfam family "Archaeal small subunit ribosomal RNA", at positions 937 to 1338 of the family's 1478-position model. Lineage: Archaea; Methanobacteriati; Methanobacteriota; Methanomicrobia; Methanotrichales; Methanotrichaceae. The record is from RNAcentral.